GCAGUCGAGGGGUAUAUGUCUUCGGAUAUAGAGACCGGCGCACGGGUGCGUAACGCGUAUGCAAUCUGCCUUUCACAGAGGGAUAGCCCAGAGAAAUUUGGAUUAAUACCUCAUAGUAUAAUCAAGCCGCAUGGUUUAAUUAUUAAAGUCACAACGGUGAAAGAUGAGCAUGCGUCCCAUUAGCUAGUUGGUAAGGUAACGGCUUACCAAGGCAACGAUGGGUAGGGGUCCUGAGAGGGAGAUCCCCCACACUGGUACUGAGACACGGACCAGACUCCUACGGGAGGCAGCAGUGAGGAAUAUUGGACAAUGGGCGCAAGCCUGAUCCAGCCAUGCCGCGUGCAGGAUGACGGUCCUAUGGAUUGUAAACUGCUUUUGUACGAGAAGAAACAUCCCGACGUGUCGGGACUUGACGGUAUCGUAAGAAUAAGGAUCGGCUAACUCCGUGCCAGCAGCCGCGGUAAUACGGAGGAUCCAAGCGUUAUCCGGAAUCAUUGGGUUUAAAGGGUCCGUAGGCGGUUUAGUAAGUCAGUGGUGAAAGCCCAUCGCUCAACGGUGGAACGGCCAUUGAUACUGCUGAACUUGAAUUAUUAGGAAGUAACUAGAAUAUGUAGUGUAGCGGUGAAAUGCUUAGAUAUUACAUGGAAUACCAAUUGCGAAGGCAGGUUACUACUAAUGGAUUGACGCUGAUGGACGAAAGCGUGGGGAGCGAACAGGAUUAGAUACCCUGGUAGUCCACGCCGUAAACGAUGGAUACUAGCUGUUGGGGGCAACUUCAGUGGCUAAGCGAAAGUGAUA
RNAcentral lists this ribosomal RNA (798 nucleotides) under Flavobacterium sp. Its description in RNAcentral is "bacterial SSU rRNA". It matches the Rfam family "Bacterial small subunit ribosomal RNA", at positions 57 to 862 of the family's 1533-position model. The record is from RNAcentral. Lineage: Bacteria; Pseudomonadati; Bacteroidota; Flavobacteriia; Flavobacteriales; Flavobacteriaceae.